GCGAAGAGAGCUUGAUGGUUUGAGCGUUAGAUUGUGAAUCUAUAGGUUGUGGGUUCGAAUCCCAUUCUUCGCC
This 73-nucleotide transfer RNA is filed under the name Gelidiella acerosa. RNAcentral describes it as "tRNA-His". It matches the Rfam family "tRNA". From Rfam's summary of the family: Transfer RNA (tRNA) molecules are approximately 80 nucleotides in length. Their secondary structure includes four short double-helical elements and three loops (D, anti-codon, and T loops). Further hydrogen bonds mediate the characteristic L-shaped molecular structure. tRNAs have two regions of fundamental functional importance: the anti-codon, which is responsible for specific mRNA codon recognition, and the 3' end, to which the tRNAs corresponding amino acid is attached (by aminoacyl-tRNA synthetases). tRNAs cope with the degeneracy of the genetic code in two manners: having more than one tRNA (with a specific anti-codon) for a particular amino acid; and 'wobble' base-pairing, i.e. permitting non-standard base-pairing at the 3rd anti-codon position. Lineage: Eukaryota; Rhodophyta; Florideophyceae; Gelidiales; Gelidiellaceae. The record is from RNAcentral.